RNA transcript from Elaeis guineensis (African oil palm), 2816 nucleotides. It is a transcript of the gene named BTB/POZ domain-containing protein At3g50780, with no coding region annotated. NCBI's taxonomy places the organism in Eukaryota, Viridiplantae, Streptophyta, Magnoliopsida, Arecales, Arecaceae. The record is from RefSeq and is a predicted model, not a curated record.
UGCAGCCACGCGCGCGUGGCACGAGAGACAGCGACGGCCGCAGUCUAAAACAGCACGGCAUGAGCGCGCAACGGACGGGCGCGUGCAACAAGGAGCCAUGGAGCGCCAGUGUUGCUCGCCUGUUGCCACUCGAAGGUCUAUGUUUUUGUUCUUACUGUUGAGAAUCACAAUUUGUAGUUACAUAGGAAAUUGAGCUUUGGGGGAGAUUGGAUUUGCAGUUUUUUGUCCUUUGACUGAGUAAUUUUAGUUUCUGAAAUUUAAGUAGAGCAAAGCUUUAGAAUGGCUGAUUUUAGAGUUAGAAGGCUUGACCCAGCUCAGACAAAGAUCAGAAAUGUUCCCAUUGCAGUGACUCCAGAAGGGUUCUGGUGUUGCCCUUCCCCUGCUGUACUUCAAAAGACCCUCAAAAAUCAUAAUCACCAAAGCAAACAAAAAGGGUCACCACCACCAUUGAAGGAUCCUUCAGUUCAGAAGGCUUCAACACCUCCAACAGAAAAGAUACCACUUUCUAACCAGUUAAAAUCUAGGGCUGUUUCCGAUGAUCAGCGAUGUAUGACCCUGGAUGCUUCUGCUGCAAGUCCAACAAAAGCUCCUGAGAGGCCACCAAAAUCAAAUGGUGAGAACCAACAACGAAAGAUACGUGUUGGAUUUGGUCAGCCUGAGACCAGCGAUUUGAAAGUCAUUUUGUUUGGAAAGGAAGGGAUUGUUGUGAGAAUGAGUGUUCACAGGAACAUUCUUGCAGAACAUAGCAGCUUCUUCGCAGAUAAGCUCUCUACAGAGUCUCCAGUACCAUAUAUUGAAAUAAUGGACUGUGAGGAUGUGGAGAUUUAUGUUGAGACUGUGGGAUUGAUGUACUCUAAAGAAGUGAAGCACAGAUUGAUCAAGCAAAGUGUUCCACGUAUACUCUGCAUUCUAAAGGUUGCAGAAUCACUUGGCUACCGUUCCUGCGUCAAGUCAUGCUUAGAUUAUCUGGAAGCAGUUCCUUGGGUUGGAGAAGAAGAAGAGAAUGUGGUAACAUCUAUCCGACACCUUCAGAAUGAUAAGUAUGGAGUCAAUCCUAUACUGAAACGAGUAGCUUCUGACAUCUCCAAUCCUCCUAAUGAUACACUUACUCGUGUAUUGGAGCUGGUUCUCAAAAGCAAUGAGGAUCGAGGUCGCCGAGAGACGAAAUCCUUGGUGUUGAAGCUUUUUAAGGAAAAUAAUCUUUGGACCAAUGGAUCUGCAGACAUAUGCACUGAAACUUUAAAUGGUUCUUGUCAGAACUGCUUAGACUCGCUAUUAGCUCUUUUAAGACAAGCAUCUGAACCUGGUUUUGUGGAUAAAUCUUUGGAAAGCAAAGAUCCUGUUGUUCGGCGGAUAGCUCUAGAGGCAGAUAAUCUUCUUUGGCUAGUUGAGAUUUUGGCUGACAGGCAUAUGGCAGGUGAGUUUGCAGUGAUGUGGAGUAGCCAGAAUGAGCUAGCUGAAUUACACUCAAAGUUACCAAUUGUGUCACGUCACCCAGUGAGCUCCAUCACAGCUAGGCUUUUUGUUGCAAUUGGAAGAGGAGAGAUGCUUCCAUCAAAGGACACCCGCCAGCAGCUGUUACAUGUUUGGUUGCAGCCACUUAUCGAUGACUACAGUUGGUUACAGCAUGGAUGUAGAUCAUUUGAUCGAAAGGUUGUGGAGGAAGGAAUUGGUCAAACCAUUCUUACACUUCCUUUGGAAGAUCAGCAAAAUAUUUUGCUCUCAUGGUUGGGAAGUUUCUUAAAGGUUGGCGAUAACUGCCCAAAUCUUCAGAGAGCCUUUGAGGUCUGGUGGAGGAGGACUUUCAUAAGGCCAUAUGUUGAACAGCAGGGAAACCUUGCACAAUUAGAUAGAAGUUGACCUAGAGUUGGACAAGAAGAAAGAAACGAGUCCAUCUUAUUGCUAGAAUGUCAGUUACGCAAUGUAUGGCAUGAGAACAAAGAAAAACUUUCUAUUGAGAUUUGAAGAUUGGAGAGAGAUGCUUUUAGAUUUUAAUGCACUGUACACUGUUUUGUUGGUGGACAGUGUCAGGAGACCGACCCAUGAGAUUAGUAGACAGGCAGUGUUAAGAUUCAAAUGCAAAUGCCUUGCUAUAUCCACAUCUCACCUUGUCGCAACCAUCUGGUAGGAAAACAGUCAUCCGGAAGCAUCACAUUGCCUCCAGAAAGUAUUCGAUGGAAGUGAUUGCUUUUAUAGCUCCGCAUAUGGGAGAGGGUAUGCUGCACUGAAUCAACAACUGCUGCUGAACCAAGAAGGUAUUAAACCUGCAGGCAAUUUUAUUAUGGCAAGGACCUGCUUAUGGACAGCCUGGGUUGCAUGCACUAGUGGUGAAUAAGGUUGUUUUGACUGUCAAUAAUUUAUUCAUCUCUAGUUUUAUAUGAUUAUCUAGUGUUUUACAUGCAGUCCUAGCAUAUUGAAAUUGACUAUCACCUCAUCAGCAAGAAUAAAAAUCUUAUUCAGUACUUCUUUAAACACCUUAUACCAAGGAUAUCGUGCAGCUUCAAGAUCCCUUCCACUUUUCGGUAGGCCUUGAUCCAGAGUUGCUCAAAGAUGACAUCGUACCUGUAUGUUAAUUGUUAAAGGCUCUGUUGUGGUUACGAUUAUCAGCUCCUGACAUCUUCUACGUGCUUACAUGCCUUGAACUAAUCUAAAGGGAAUUCUUGUGCUUUUGCUGAAGCCAAUACUUUGUCAUGUUAUAUAUGAGAUGUUAUAUUUGCUAUGAUUUAUAUUUAUAUUGGCCGCAGCGUGUUCAUGAUGCUAGGGACAUGUAAAUGGGAUACUUCAAAGAUAUUACGGGUCUUAGCUUGCUUCAGGUU